CCCUUAGCUGUUCUGGGCCGCACGCGCGCUACACUGACGAAUGCAACGAGCUUAUAACCUUGGCCGAAAGGUCUGGGUAAUCUCCAAAUUUCGUCGUGAUGGGGAUAGAUUAUUGCAAUUAUUAAUCUUCAACGAGGAAUGCCUAGUAAGCGCAAGUCAUCAGCUUGCGUUGAUUACGUCCCUGCCCUUUGUACACACCGCCCGUCGCUCCUACCGAUUGAAUGGUCCGGUGAAGCGUUCGGACCGUGGCCUUUGGACGGUUCGCCGUCUGUUGGCUGCGGGAAGUUCGUUAAACCUUAUCAUUUAGAGGAAGGAGAAGUCGUAACA
Molecule: ribosomal RNA, 327 nt
Filed under: uncultured eukaryote
Lineage: Eukaryota
Description: partial 18S ribosomal RNA
Rfam family: Eukaryotic small subunit ribosomal RNA
Source: RNAcentral